RNAcentral lists this long non-coding RNA (336 nucleotides) under Rattus norvegicus (Norway rat). Its description in RNAcentral is "long non-coding RNA NONRATT009898". Lineage: Eukaryota; Metazoa; Chordata; Mammalia; Rodentia; Muridae. The record is from RNAcentral.
UUUUAGGUGGAAGAUAUCAACUAGAGAUAAAAAUACCAGAAACAUAUCCAUUUAACCCCCCUAAGGUCCGGUUUAUCACUAAAAUAUGGCACCCUAAUAUUAGUUCCGUCACAGGGGCUAUUUGUUUGGAUAUCCUGAAAGAUCAAUGGGCAGCAGCAAUGACUCUGCGCACAGUAUUAUUGUCAUUGCAAGCACUGCUGGCCGCUGCAGAACCAGAUGACCCCCAAGAUGCAGUAGUAGCAAAUCAGGUAAGAGCAGCUGAAAGGCUCUUAGAGCUCUGUGUGCAGCGCUGACGUUUGAUGUCAGCAUGUGAGAAUUCUCUGUUGGGACUAAAUU